GAGGGUAUAGCUCAGCGGUAGAACAUGUGCUUAACAGGCACAAGUUCCUGGGCUCAUCCCCAGUGUCUCCA
Molecule: transfer RNA, 71 nt
Filed under: Camelus dromedarius (Arabian camel)
Lineage: Eukaryota; Metazoa; Chordata; Mammalia; Artiodactyla; Camelidae
Also listed under: 1 other name
Rfam family: tRNA
About the family: Transfer RNA (tRNA) molecules are approximately 80 nucleotides in length. Their secondary structure includes four short double-helical elements and three loops (D, anti-codon, and T loops).
Source: Rfam by way of RNAcentral